AAAAAAAAAUUUUAAAAAAAAAAAAAAGGAAAAAAAGAGGAAAGAUGAUAAUGCUACAUUGACACUCAUUCCAAUUUUUUUUUCCAGUGGUACUGAAUUUUUCCUAACAAACCCUCCUUCUCACUCAGGCCCUAUUUUAAUUUUUUUUUUUAACGUUUUAUUUAUUUUUGAGACAGAGCGAGCGAGCGUGGGGGAGGGGCAGAGAGAGAUGGAAACAGAGUCUGAAGCAGGUCCAGACUCUCAGCUGUCAGCACAGAGCCCCACACGGGGCUCCAACCCACAAACCGUGAGAUCAUGACCUGAAUUAUAGUCGGAUGCUUAACCGGCUGAGCCACCCAGGCAUCCCUGACUAGCUCUGUUUUUAAAAGCAUGCUUACAAGUUGGUUGAAUAGAGUUUGAAUUUUAUGUGGUUAAUUAUUCCACACAGGGAUUAAAUCCACAUAACCAAUCAACUAAUGUUUAGUUGGUUUAAAUUGUUAAGAUUAUUAGCUAAAAGUAAGGAAAAUGAUUUAGUUAUUUAGAUGUUUGUUUUAAAAUGAAAGAUUUGUCAUUGUUUUUUAACACUGUCCAGAAAAAUAAUUACCUUGUUUAUGUUUAUGUCUACUUCUUUCAGUUUAAGAAUGCUUUGAUUGCUUUUCUUGAAGGUAAUUUUGCAGAUACAAAAUUAUUUUGAUAAACUAAUCAUUGAACAAAGAAAAAUGAUACUUAAGACAUGAUUACAGAAUUCUAAGUAUAAAAAUUAAAGUCAGAACUAUUGUGUAAGCACAGUACAAAUAUGAGUCCCUUUUGCUCCCUUGGGAUAGAAAUAGCUAUUUUCUGUAAGCCUUCUAAUUUGUACUUUGCCAUCUGUAGAGUCACUGACUUGCCCCAGUUGUAUAUGCCAGGAUUGAAUCAGUUACUAAGAGCUUUUUUACUUCCCCAUAGGCUCCAGCGGCUGCUGUGCCUGCCCCGGGUCCAGGAGUGGCACCCGUUCCCACAGGUGUCUUCACAGAUGUCCCAGUCAGCAACAUUCGUCGCGUAAGAAUAUUACCCUAAAUCUGCAACCAGCACCAUAGGGGGCGUCUUUACUCUGAUUGUUUAAUUGCAUUCAUGGUUUGAAACACUAACAGAGACUUUUUUUAGUUGGGAAUCAUAGAUGACUAGUUUAAGAUGUUUGCUUUGGCCAAUUAGAUACUUGGGAAAAACAAACAUUAUAUUGAUUAAACACCACUAGAAGGGGCCCAGGUUACGGUGCAGUCCUCCAUAUUCCAGUUAUAAUGCUUGAGGUAAGCAUUACCAGGGAGCUAGUAAAGGGGCAAACAGAGUCCUGAAUUAGGUAAUAAAGAAAAGAACCACUUAAGACAAGUGAUGUUUUAAUGUCUUUGAUUCUAGGUUAUUGCACAGCGGUUAAUGCAGUCUAAGCAAACCAUACCUCAUUAUUACCUUUCCAUUGAUGUAAAUAUGGGAGAAGUUUUGUUGGUACGGAAAGAACUUAAUAAGGUAAAAGGUCUGGAAAUUCCAACUCUGUAAAUUCUAAAAUGUUUGUAUUUCCCCACUAAACAUAUACGUUUUUGCCCAUAUUUUUUGUUCCAAUAUGCCAGUUGAUGUUGGAAAAUGGUGUCUUCAUAAUUUUAACUUGCCGAGAGAAUAUCUUGGACAAUUUUCAUUUUCUAAUCCUUGAUUAAAGCUUAUUAUUUAAAGUUGAUUUUGCCUUGGAUCCAUUGUAGCCUAGCUCAGUCACUAUGAUCCCAUGAAGCUAGAUAAGAUAAGGUAGAUAAGAGUAUGUUUACUCUGUGUUUGCAGUUAAGUACCUAUUACCUAUUUAGUGUUUAGUAUAAGGCACUUUUGGGAAGAUAGAAUAAGGUAUAGUCCUUCUCCAUGAGUUUCAGUUUAUAAUCUAAUUGAGAUAAUGCAUGUGAAAAACAGAGAAGGCAAUUUUUAUUAAAAUAAAAAUACUUAUUUGUACAUCAAUCUCUUUAUGGUAAUGUCCUUUGUCUGCUAAAUUAUGUUGUAUGGGUUAAGUGUUCUAGGAAUUCAGAGGAGGAACCCAGUAAAAGUAGUUGGGGAAUUCACAGUGGUGUAAGAAAAACUUGGUUAAGCCAUGUAGAAUAGUAUGUGUUUGAAUUGCAAAGAAGUUGUAGAAAGUUCAUUCUAAUGAUGGAAUACCAUAGAGGUAAAAUGCUUUCAAGAAAGGAAGUAAGUAUUGCAGAUGUGGAAGAGAGACUACCUUUUUCUAGGGUGGGUAUGCAGUUGUUGGUUUAGGGAAGACCUUGUUUACAAGCAGAACAAUUUGGACUUGAUGAAUUAGACAUGAAGAAACCAGUAAUAGUGACAUGAUGAUAGCAAUAUUUUAAGUAAGUUUAGUCUAAAUAGAUAUAUAGUGGUGUGCUUUAAUGGCAGAGACUAGUUAUGCUUAUCCUGUAAGCAUGAUAAGGGUCUGGACUAGACGGUUGCAUUAAGAAUGGAGUAGGAGAGGGAUAUGAAAGAUGUUUUCAAAGAAGUGAAAAGUAAAAGCCAGUGGCACUGAGGGCAUUAGAACAGCAUUCAGCGCCUUACACAGGUUAUCUGUAGCCUCUCUGACCUCCUACUACUUUUCCCACUUGUUCACUCUGCUGCAAAAACAAUGGUUGCCUUGCUGUUCCUUGACGUUCCACCUGUGUACUCCUACUUGAGGCCCCUUGCACUUGCUGUUCCCUGUGCAUGGAAUAUUCACCCCCUAGCAUCUACCUGGCUUCCUCCUUUACCACCGUGAGGAUCUGACUCAAUAUCACCUUCUCUAGUCUUUCCUGGUCACCUUAUUCUAAAAUUAAGGGAAGAGGAUUGGGGUGAGUGGUCACUUCUCCCUCUAGUUCUUUUCCUCUAUUUUUUUUUCUUUAUCAUGUAACAUUAUUUUACAUGCUGUAUGUUUAUUAUCUAUCCACCCCUUUAGAUUGUUAAGUUCCCCGGGGCACCUGGGUGGCCCAGUUGGUUAGGCGUCUGACUUCAGCUUGGGUCACAAACUCUCAGUUUGACAGUUUGAACCCCACAUUGUGCUCUGUGCUAUCAGCGCAGAGCCUGUUUUGGAUCCUUUGUCCCCCUCUCUCUCUGCCCUUUUCCCUUUUGUGCACAUGCAUUCUCUCUCAAAAAUAAGUAAACAUUUAAAAAAAAAAAACGUAAGCCCCCUGAGAGUAGAAUUUUUACCCAUUUUUUUCACUGCUUUAUAUCCAGGGCUUUAGAGCUAUAUGUCUGAACGGAGUACUCAAAUAUUAGAUGCAUGAAAGAAUGAAGCAAUGAAGCAUUAACAGAGCUUUUUAUUUUUUUUAAUUUUUUUUUUUUAAAUUUUUUUUUUUUCAACGUUUAUUUAUUUUUGGGACAGAGAGAGACAGAGCAUGAACAGGGGAGGGGCAGAGAGAGAGGAAGACACAGAAUCUGAAACAGGCUCCAGGCUCCAAGCCAUCAGCCCAGAGCCUGACACGGGGCUCGAACUCACGGACCGCGAGAUCGUGACCUGGCUGAAGUCGGAUGCUUAACCGACUGUGCCACCCAGGCGCCCCUUAACAGAGCUUUUUAACUGGCACAGAGGUUAAAGUUGAUUGCUUACUUUCAUUGUCAAAAUGUUAAAGCUAUUUUAUAAUUUAUUUGAAAAUCAGGCGUGAAAAAUUUAUGUCCAAUGUAAUAUUUUAUUCAUUUCUCUUAAACAGCUUUAUUUGGAUAUAAUGCACAUAUAAUACCAUUCACCCAUAUAAAGUUUAUAAUUCAGUGGCUUUUAGUAUAUUCAGAAUUCUGUGACCAUCACCACAAUAAAUUUUGGAGCCUUCUUAUCACCCCAAAAUGAAACCAUUCUCUCCUUAGCCAUAGCCCCCACCCCACCCCUCUCAUCCUCCCCAACCCUAGACAACUUCUUACCUACUUUCCAUCUUAGAUUUGCCUGUUUUGGAUAUUUCCUAUAGGGAUAGGGACUUCAUGGAAUCGAUAAAUCAACUUAGGGAGUAUUGCCUUCUUAACAGUGUCCCCACUCCGUGAACAGGGGGUGUCUUUGCAUUUAUUUAGGUCUUUCAUUUCUUUCAAUCAUGUUUAUAAUUUUUUGAGUGUAAGUUUUUGUACUUCUUUUGUUAAAUUUGUUCCUAUGUAUUUUAUUCUUUUUAAUACUAUUAUAAAUUUCGUGUUCACUGCUAUUGUAUAGAAAUACCAUUGAUUUUUGUAUAUUGAUCUUGUAUCUUACCACCUUAUUUUUUAUUUAGUGUGUUCCUUAGGAUUUUCUAUAUACAAAAUCAUGUCAUCUGCAAACAUAGUUGUACUUUUUCCUUUCCAAUUUGGAUACCUUUUCUUGGGCAACUUCUCUGGCUGGCUUCUCUGGCUAGCAAAAUGUUGACUGGAAGUGGUAAAGUGGACGUCUUUGUUUUGUUCUUGAUCUUAAGGGGAUGUAAGUCUUUUACCACUAAAGUAUGAUGAUGACUAUGAGCUUUUGUAGAUCUGUUUUAUCAUCAGGUUGGGGAACUUCCUUUCUAUUCCUAGUUUUUAUGAAGUGGUGGUUGAAUUUUGUCUGCUUUUUCUGUGUCUGUUGAGAUGGUUGUGUGAUUUUUGUCCUAUAUUCCAUUAGGACAUUAUUAGAUUAAUUGAUUUUCAGAUGUUAAACCAUCCUUGCAUUCCUGGGACAAAUCCCAUUUGAUCAUGGUGAAUAAUCCUUUUCUUGUAUUGCUGGAUUUGGUUUGCUAGAGUUUUUUUGAGAGUUUUUGUUAUCUAUAUUCAUAAAUUAUACUUGUCUGUAGUUUUGUUUUUUCUGGGUUGUUUUGUUUUUUUAUUAUAUCUUGGUGUGGUUUUGGUAUUGGAUUAAUAUUGACCUCUAGAAUGAGUGGGGAAGUGUUCCCUAUUUUGGAAGAGUUUGUGAAGAAUUGAUACUAAUUCUUCUUUAAAUGUCUGGCAGAAUUCACCAGUUGGGGAAGGCGUCUGGAUCUAGGCUGUCUUAGGUGGGUAGUUUCUAAAUUAUCAUUCAGUCUCUUUAUUGUUAGCUCUAGAUCUAUUCAGAGGUUCUAUUUCUUUUUGAUUCAGUUUUGGUAGUUUUUGUCUUUCUAGGAAUUUUUCUCAAAGUUAGCUAAUUGUGGCAUAUAGGUGUUCAUAGUAUUACCAGUAAUCUUUUUUAUUCCUGUAGGGCAUAUAGUAAUGUCCUCUACUUCAUUUCUGAUUUUGGGAAUUUGAGUCUUCUUUUUCUCUUUGUCAGUCUGGCUAAACGUUUAUCAUUUUGUUGAUCUUUUCAAAGAACCAACUUUUGAUUUUGUUGAGAUAAGUAAAAAAGGCGGCCUUUUUAAUAUACCAUAACUUAUGGGACAUAGCUAAAGGAGUGCUCAGCGGGAAACUUAUGGCUGAAAAGACCUACGUUAAAAAAGUUGAAACAACCAAAUUUAGUUUCAUUUCAUCCUUUAUACCUCAGGACAUUUGUGUUUGCCCCUCUCACAUCCCCUGCCAGGUGAUAUAGUUUCAGUCUUCAGGAAGAGAAUUGAAGAAAAUACAAUGGUUUCUUGUCUUUGCAGAUAUUAGAAGGGAGAAGCAAAAUUUCUGUCAAUGACUUCAUCAUAAAAGCUUCAGCUUUGGCAUGUUUAAAAGUUCCUGAAGCCAAUUCUUCUUGGCUGGACACAGUUAUAAGACAGUAAGUAAGAUACUGCUGGGGAAGGUGUAUAUCCAUCAGCAGUUUUCUCGUGGUUUCUCAUGUAGAACUAGGAGUAUAGGGGGUGCGAAGAAAUGGAAUACAGGAGGGAGAUGACUUCCAUAGGCACAACAGAUUGAAAACAAUGUAAAACUGUUGACGAGGUAAUGUUCAGUUAGGAAGGACUACAAAUUCUUGUAGUGUAGGAAAGGAAGGUAAAUUUACAGAUAUGAAUAAUUAAAGUUGAUAACAAACUUUAGAAAGCAAGGUUGAAAUGGUUUUUAUUUACCAGUUAAUUCUGCUGAACUUUAAUGAAGGCAAAUUGAAAACAGUACCAAGAAACAUAUUUGUUAAUAUUAUGUGGGGCUCCUGGGUGGCUCAGUUGGUUAAGCAUCUGACUUUGGCUCAGGUCAUGAUCUCACGGUUCGUGGGUUUGAGCUCUGCGUCUCAGGAAACUAAUAUUGUUUCCUGAAGUGCAGAGCCUACUUCAUAUCCUCUGUCUCCCUGUCUCUGCCCCUCCCCUGCUCGUGUGCUCUCUCUCUUAAUCUCUCAAAAAUAAAAAAACAUUUAAAAAAAAGUAUAUGGUAGCAUGUGACUGGCAUGGUGCUUUCACAUGUUGUCUCAUUUUAAUCCUUAUGGCCACCUUAUGAAUUAGGGACUUUCACUUCCAUUUUACAGAUGAAGAAACUGAAGCUCAAUGAGUUAAAUAACUUUCCUUGGAUUAAUUUGUUAGGAAGUAGCAAAACUGUGACUGGAACCAGGAUUCUGACUCCUGUGCCUAGGCUUGUACUAUGUAGAUUCUUUUAUGUUAUUAUUUAAUUUUUUUUUAAAAUAAGAGUGUAUACAUUAGAAUAUUGCUCCCUGAGUGGCUCAGUUGGUUAAGCAUCUGACUUUGGCUCCGGUCAUGAUCUCACAGUUUGUGAGUUUGAGCCCCAUGCCAGGCUCUGUGCUGACAGCUCAGAACUCUCCCUCUUUCUCUACCGCUCCCCCACUUGUACUCUGUGUGUGUCUCUCUCUCUCUCAAAAUAAAACAUUAAAAAAAUUUUUUUUUUAGAAUAUUGUUCCCUGGCUUACAGUGACCUACUCAACUUUUUUUUUUUUUUUUUAAUCCAAGUUAGUUAACAUAAUGAAAGAAUGGUUUCAGGAGUAGAAUUUAGUGAUUGAUCACUUACAUAUAACACCCAGUGCUCAAGCUUUGUAUGGUAAAAAAAAUUUUUUUUAAUUUUUAUUUAUUUUUGAGAGAGAGUGAGUAGGGGAGGGGCAGAGAGAGGGAGACAGAGGAUCCAAAGCAGGCUCUGUGCUGAGACCAGACAGCCUCAUGUGGGGCUCGAACUCACAAGUUGCGAGAUCAUGACCUGAGUUGAAGUCAGAUGCUGAACCGACUGAGCCACCUGGGCACCCCAACCUACACAACUUUUAAUCUGAGGUCUACUCCCAAGAGGCAAAUACAACUUUUAAACUGUUUUUUUUUUUUUUCCCCCUGGUAUUUACUUUUGUAUUUCUAAAAAACAUUUUUCAUUUGCCUUUUAUGGGUUUUUCAUUUUCUUUAUCAACUUAUUGGUAUUAAGGAAGGCUAAGAUUUAGCUUUGUUAUGCUUUCCGUAUACACACACACACACACACACACACACCAUUAUCCUAUCAAAUUGAUUACAGCACAAAUAUUGGAUAAAUCGGUAUUCAGUAUUAAUAUUUUUAUGCCCAUAAAAAUAUUAUUUAUGACUAAGAGAUGUAAUAUGCUGUGAAUAGUGACCAGGCUGAUCUUAAUGGUUCCCUAAGAAGGAGCUAGUUUUCUCUGUACUCACCAUCAGUUCUUUCUGAAAGUUCCCAGAGAACUCUAAGCCAUUUUUCAGUCCUGUCAAUGUCACAGUAACCUACUCAUGCUUUUUCAUUGGCCAUCCCCCUCUGGGAGGACAUCUGAGGGUCUUACUAUGCCUUAUAGACUAUAUUAGUUUCCUAGGGCUUCUGUUACAAAUGACUACAAAAUUGGUGGCUUAAAAGAAAAAUUUAUUCUCUCAUAGUUCUGAAGGCCAAAAGUCCAAAAGUAAGGUGUUAGCAAGGCUGCACUCCCUCCAUAGGCUCUAGGGGAGAAUCUUCCCUUGUUUUUUCCGGUUUUGGUGGCUCCAGGCAUUCCUUGGCUUGUGGCUGCAUAACUCUAACCUCUGCCUGCAUCCUCACAUGGCUUUCUCCUCUGUGUCCAUGUCUUCUCUUCUGUCUCUUACAAGGGUACUUGGCAUUGGAUUUAGGGCCCACCCAGAUAAUCCAGGAUGAUUUCAUCUCAAGAUCCUAAUUAAAUCUGCAAAGAUCUUUUUUACUAAAUAAGAUCACAUUGAUAGAUUCUGGGAUUAAGACAAAGAUGUAUCUUCUAGAGAGCUGUUAUGAACAUAUGUGUAUAAUUCUUUGUGUUGACCUACAUUUUUAUUUUUCUUGGGUUCAUUCCUUGGAGUAGAAUUGCUGGGUCAUAGGGUAAAUUAAUGUUUCACAUUUUAAGAGUAUUUGAAGAAAACACUUCUUUGAAGAACAGAUCAAGGCUACAGGGCAAGUUCUCUGAAUUGUUCAUUGAUUCCUACCAAAUGCCCUUCAUCUGUUUGUUUAUAUAGCCAUUCAACAGAUAUUUAUUGAACAUGUACUGUUGGCUAUAUUCAUCAGUGAACAAGGUGAGAAACACCAUGCUUACUCGCUUAGGAGGACAGGGUAGUUAAGAAAGGAGUGUUCGUUAUGUCAUUCCUUGGCUAGAGCCCAGUUGUGAUAGUCACACACUAUCAUUAGAGCACAUCCUUAUGUUUACAAGUGACAGUCCCACUGCCCUGCUCAGCUUGGGCACUUUGAGGGCUCAGCUUGGGCACUUUGAGGGAUUUGGUACCAUACCAUAAUAUUCUAAAGCUUGUGCCUAGAAAUAGCUGGAGUUCUUCCUGUGAAGUUUUAACUUUUUCUCAAUUGCAGAAUACAUCAGCACGGGCCCUUACACAGACCCCAAGGAGGCUGUGGAUAUAAUUUGGGAGUUUGGGAACUUGGCUGAGGGGGAAAAAGUCAUUCCUUUCCACUAACCUCUAACUGAAAUUUGGCAUUUCCUCUUACCGUAAAUGUAGAGAAUAAAUCAAAGAGGUAUUAACAGUACUUGUGCUGGUGACCAGUAAAAAUCACUUAUUUUCAUAUCACAGCUUUGUUGCAGGAGUCUUAAAAGUGGUUUUUGCUUAUCACUACUUCAAAAUUGUAGCAAUUAUUAGACCUCUUGCCUGAUCUUAUUAAUACAGAAGCACAUGUGUCACAAUUUUUAAAAAAUGUUUUAGUGUUUAUUUAUUUUUGAGAGACAGAGACAGAGCUCAAGUAGGAGAGGGGCAGAGAGGGAGGGAGACAGAAUCUGAAGUAGGCUCCAGGCUCUGCACUGACAGGCUGACAGCAGUGAGCCUGAGCUGGGGCUCAAACCCCUAAACCAUGAUAUCAUGACCUGAGCCGAAGUCGGAAGCUUAACCGACUGAGCCACCCAGGCACCCGCAGUUUUGUUUUUUGAAUAGUUUGGUAAUUGAAUUUCAGUGUAGUUGGGGCUUUUUGUUUGGUUGUGUUUUUUUGUUAUUUGUAAUUUGAGUAUUUUAUUUUCUGUGUUAAAAGUACAUACUCUGAGAAAGAACACAGAUGCAAAGGUACCUGUGGCAUAAUACAGAUUGGGAAUCCUAUUUUUCUGUCCUGAGACACCACCAUCCUGCAUCCUGAGCUCUGAUUCUCCCAUGGUGCAGUACACUCCCUCCACUCUUCCUUCCAUCUGCUCGAGCUCUGCCUGGAGGCUCAGCUCCAGCCAGUCCACUGCAUCUCAAAAUCCAGGGAGUUCUUUGAGUUCUUGUUUAAUUCUCACUGAAUGCCGGGCAUUUUCCACCUGCCAGUCAAGGCAAGUGGGAGGCAGUUAGAGGUUAUGUGUAACCAACCCCAUUUCUUGUCCAUUUGCAAAAAGUCCAAGUUAGGGAAAGGGCAUAGCAAAAUGUCAACACCAGAAGAGAUAUCUCUCUGGCUGAACAGUAGGCCAAACUGAGAUAAAUAUCGAUAUUCUUGCUUAACCUGACACAUAAGCUCUUAAUAUUGUUGAUUAUUGAAGUGUCCUUUUCUUUUUUCUUUUGCAAUAGAAAUCAUGUAGUCGAUAUCAGUGUUGCAGUCAGCACUCCUGCAGGACUCAUUACACCUAUUGUAUUUAAUGCACAUAUAAAAGGACUGGAAGCCAUUGCUAAUGAUGUUGUUUCUUUAGCAACCAAAGCACGAGAGGGUAAACUCCAGCCUCAUGAGUUCCAGGUACAGUAUUACUUAUUUACCUUCUGAAUGUUAAGAAUUACGUUAUUUUUAAGGGCAGCAUAAUGCUUUUAUUGCAUUUUCCACCUUUUGAUUAUGCCUUGUUUUCUCAUGGACACAAGGCCCUGAAAAUAAAAAGUGAAUAACCUGUCAGAAGCUGAAAAUAAGAUAUUUUCCAGCAAUUUGCAAAAGGCACACAACUGACUUUUGUUCAUAUUGUAAUGCUUGUAUAUUUUCAUUAACGUGUAUUCCAUUCAGGCCUUUUUCCCCACUUUCAGCUUUAUUGUAUUUAAAUAGCAAAUAAGAGGGGCGCCUGGGUGGCUCAGUCGGUUAAGCGGCCGACUUCGGCUCAGGUCAUGAUCUCACCGUCCGUGAGUUCGAGCCCCGCGUCGGGCUCUGUGCUUACAGCUUAGAGCCUGGAGCCUGUUUUGGAUUCUGUGUCUCCCUCUCUCUGACCCUCCCCCAUUCAUGCUCUGUCUCUCUCUGUCUCAAAAGUAAAAUAAACGUUGAAAAAAAAAAAUAAAAAAAAAAUAAAUAGCAAAUAAGAAUUAUAUACAUUUAGGUUGCACAACUUGAUGUUCUGGUAUGUGUAUUCAUGCGCUUAUCAUUUUCCUUUCCUUUUUUUUUUAAAUGGUAGUUCAUAGGCCUUUCUUAAAGAUGAUCUUAAGGUCUUUUCAUGUAACAUUUUGUCUUUUUUUUUAUGUUGAGAAGCAAUUAACAUCUGUUUUUAAUCUCUUUUCUUCUAGGGUGGUACUUUUACAAUAUCUAAUUUAGGGAUGUUUGGAAUUAAGAACUUCUCUGCUAUUAUUAACCCACCUCAAGCAUGUAUUUUGGCGAUUGGUGCUUCAGAGGAUAGACUGGUUCCAGCAGAUAAUGAAAAAGGGUAAGUACCAAAAUAAAGAGGGAGUUGUAAGCUCAUUUUCAUUCCAUUAUACCUGUUUUUGAGUCUCAGUUUUAUAAUUAUUGGCAUAGCCUGUUGGAGCUUCAGGUAGAGUCAGAUACAAGUCUAGAAUGAAGUUUCUCAGAGCAGCAAUUCUUCUUUUACUAAAUGCAGUUAAUCCUAUAUGAGAUGGGAAGGCUGAGUUAUCACAGGUCAGGGAUCAGCAUACGUUUUUGUGGAGCCGGGUUGUAAAUCUUUUAGGUUUUCUGAGUCAUAUGGUCUCUGUUGCAAAUACUCUGACGUGGUAGUGUGAAAGCAGACAGAGGCACUACGUAAAUGCAUUUGGCGGGAUUUGGUCUGUGAGCUGUAGUUUGCCAACCCAUGCUCCAGAUGGCUGUUUGGUCUGUCAAACUGGAGGUUGAGCUAGAGGUGUAUAGUACAUAACGAGUAAGUGUAAAAUAAUAGUAUCUGGUUGGAAUUACAGGGUAGGAGUUGGCAUUUGGGCUGGUUACUGGCUAAAAAUUAGCAAUUGCUUUCAGAAUACCUAAUAAUGUUUUUAUCUUUUUCUAGAUUUGAUGUGGCUAGCAUGAUGUCUGUUACACUCAGUUGUGACCAUCGGGUUGUGGAUGGAGCAGUUGGAGCCCAGUGGCUUGCUGAGUUUAGAAAGUACCUUGAAAAACCUAUCACCAUGUUGUUAUAAUUAACCCAAGAAUUUCUAGACUCUCCCAGGUCACAGUGGUUCAUUCUUAUCAAGAUACAAAUAUGUUAUUAUGUAAGUGGUUCUUUUUAUUUUGAAGUUAACCAGUUAUUUUUGAGUCUGUCCAGAUAAGUUAUUUGUAAUGGGCAUUACUGAAUUUUUUAAAAUGCCAAUUACACCUACAUAUUGUACACAUUUAAUAAACACCAGAUUUUGAGCUGUGUAUUCCUAGUCAAGAGAACAUGUGGCCUAGCCCUUUGGUGAGAAGUACUUCCAUUGGGAAAUGCAGAGGUAGAAUUGUGGUUCCCUACUGAAACAGAUACAUAAAAGUAAUCUGGAUGAAACCUUGAGGUUUUGAAAUUUAAUUGCCUCACGUUUUGCUUCAUUUGAGGGAAAGAGAAGUCAAGGAAAGAGAGAAGUCCUUUCUCUUAGAGAAAGGGUUUGAAUUAAAGAUUGAUUUUGGAAUUUAACCCUGUUACAUGAUCUUGGUUUAUCGUGGAUGGGAAGGGUAGAGAACUUUAAGGAAAAUAAGUGACAUUUUAAAAGUUAACAUUUUCUUACACUUCUGCAACUGAGUGUUCUUUGUUUAUUUUUCUAUGAAUUCCAAAAUGGUUGUUUUCACCUCUUAAGAUGGAAGAUAUAAAUAUAAACCAGCUACUUGGUAUAAAUGAGAAUUUGUGUGGGUAUUUAUUUAAACAACUUACAUGUGUAAUUCUGAGAGCAGAAUUUACAAUUAACUCCAAAUAAAAGAAUAUGCUUAUAGAAUUUAACAGAGAGAAGUUGUGAAAGUAGAAUUCUUCCUCCAUGAUUAACUGGUGGUUACUGACAAAUGAACUUAAUUGCCAGAAUCUGUUACUCAAAUAAUAUUGGAAAAUUAUAUCAAGUAACUAUGGAAUAGUGUACAUAUGUAAAAUAUGGUUUCUAGUGAGAUGUGUGCCAAAGUCCAUUUAUCACCAAGACCUGUCUGAAAAGAAGAGGGAAGAGAUACACUGGUAAGCAGUUGGGAGUGCUGAAAGGUUAGAAGCCAAGUGGUCACUUCUACUUGGAUAAAGUAAGAAAUGUUCAGUGUGUACAAAAAAAAGUGUUCUGUGUUUUUCCACCCAGUGUUGUCUCAUGUACAAUAUGAAAGUCCUAAAAUCCUAUUGGAGAGAAAAAAAAAAAUUGUUUAGGUUGCUUGCUACCCGAUCAGCCUAGACAUUUUUUUUUCCAUUUUGUUAUGAUUUGCCUUUCUUCUUGUGGGGGGGUAGAGUAGGAGGUGAUAUUCAGGAUAAUAAAAAUGAACUGGGAACAUUAUCACAAUUCCAGACUUUCUAUUGAAUUGAUGUGUUUUAAUAAAUAUUUAGAAUUGUUUAUGAUAAUUUAAAAUCAAUCUGAUCAGUGUUCUCUUGUGUAUAUGUGGAACAAUCCCCAAAAUUUAGGUCUUUUGGUGUUGAAUUUAUUUCUAAAUGUUCUUGGUUACAUGGUGCACAAGUAACACUGCAUAUAUUCCAGAAAUAUUUCCCUUGCUGUAUUAUUAUGAAAACAAUUCAUUAAUCUGAUUUUUCAGUAAUUAGUAAUGUUAGCUUGAAUUGAAGAUUUUGCAGAAGGAACAAGUUUAUCACAAGGGACCAUCAGUAUGAGGCACAUCUGGUUCAAAUACAUGAAACUUCAAAGAUGAUUCAUUCUUGGCAAAUGUUUAUGGCUCUGUUGUUCCCUUGAAAGAAAAAUAAAAGGUUGUCUUCUCAUAAGAAUUACUGAGUUAAAAAUUAAUCUGAGCUAUAACCUAAAUCUGGACUCAGUCUAUUUCUCUUACCAGAAUUGAAAGAAAAAAAGUUAAAAGUUUUGGUUGAAAUUAUUUAAAAAUUAAACUAUAUGUUUUCAAUGCGUCUUGUCUAAUUUUUGAUCUGUUGGUAAUUAUUUUUCACAUUAAAUGAUUAAGGCCAGGGAUAGCUAUGUAUGUGUACACUCUUAAUAGCAACACAUUUUAAGCAUACAGUAUUGGUAAAAUAAAGGACUGAGUUUAGCAGAAUAUAAUCUAACACUUCAAGCUCAAGGAGUUCUAAAGCACCUCGUGGUGGGGUGCAGCACAUAGCAAGGUGAAAGCAUAGUCUGGCCCUGUUAGAUAGUUGACACCGAUCCUGAGGUUUGUGAGUGAAGUUACAGGAACCCUAGGCCUGGUCUGAAAAAAAAGUUAACCAGCCGGAGAGAUGAUAUGGAAAGGUAAGGUGGGAAGCAUUCCAACUUUUUUUGAAGGAUGGAAAUAUACUAGGUGUGUUAACUUUAGGACAUGAUAUUAUACAGCUCUAGAAAAUUUUCAGACAGUAAAUUAUCCUAUUGCUGGGAGAAUUCAAAUCCAACCAGGUUUAGGAGAAUUAUAUUUGUUUUUAAAUAUCACGGUAUCAACUGUUUAUAUUACAUAUACUAUAUUCGUGUUUUUAUUAUUAAAUUUAUUUUUGAGAGCGAGCAGGGGAGGGGCAGAAACAGAGGGGACAGAGAGAGACUUCCAAGCAGGCUCUGCACUGUCAGCACAGAGCCCCAUAUGGGGCUUGAACACACAAACUGAGCUUAUGAACUGAGCCAAAACCAAGAGGUGGACACUUAACCUACUGAGCCACCCAGGUGCCCUGACACUUUAUUAGUGUGUAAAGUUAAAAAGCUUUAGAGGUGCCUGGCUGGUUCAGUCAGAAGAGCAUGUGACUCUUGUUCUUGUGAGUUCAAGCCCCACGUUGGGUGUAGAGAUUACUAAGAAAAAUACUUAAAAAUAAAUAAAUAAAAAGCUUUAAAAUUAACCAGGACUUUAAAGACCUUAUGUUGAACUAGAAACUUACAAGGAAGAUGUAUUUAUACAAGAUGAUCAAGGAUGUUUAAAGUUUGAUGUGAACAUUGUUGGGCUAUAAAUUGGAAAGUUGGUAUCUUUGUGUUGAACAACCAUAUGACAACUUAGAUGCAUGGAAGUUGAGAAACACAUCACUUCUGUCUUAAAAUCAUUUUUUAUGUUUAUUUGGGGACAAAGGGGCAGAGAGAGGGAGAAAGAGAAUCCCAAGCAGGCUCUGCAUUAUCAGUGCAGAUCUCCUGAACCGAGAGAUCAUGACCUGAGCCGAAAUCCAGUCGGAUGCUUAACUGGCUGAGCCACCUAGGUGCCGCUUAAAAUUAUCUUCUUAGGAGAAAGGCACAUGUCCCGAAGUCAGCUCCUUUUUCUUAAGGUUAGAUUAUUUUGCGUCUUAGGUGCAGUAACACCCAGCUACUGUUACUGCAUCACUGUAUCCAAGACAAGUCCUUUUGAUGUUAAAAGGUCUGAGUAGCUUGCACUCCUACCAUCAGGGCUAUUUUAUAGAAGUACAGAGGUUCACAGAAGCAUAGGUUUGCAUAUUUUUACAUUGGCCCUGUAUCUUUUUUUUUUUUUUUAAUUUUUUUUUUCAACGUUUAUUUUUGGGACAGAGAGAGACAGAGCAUGAAUGGGGGAGGGGCAGAGAGAGAGGGAGACACAGAAUCGGAAACAGGCUCCAGGCUCUGAGCCAUCAGCCCAGAGCCUGACGCGGGGCUCGAACUCACGGACCGCGAGAUCGUGACCUGGCUGAAGUCGGACGCUUAACCGACUGCGCCACCCAGGCGCCCCAUGGCCCUGUAUCUUUAUAGCUGGAGGAACUGCUUCAGUUCUUGGUAAUAAAAAAUUUACAUAGUCUGGGAUUUCUUCCUGAUGCAAACAUUUACUAGAGACCAAAAAAACAAGUAGACCAGAAUUUCAACCAGUAAACCAGGAAUUCUCACAAUUUACUUGGAAACAGGAUUUUCCUAAAUGACAAGUUUGUUACUUUUAAGACCAUUAGAAAUAGCUUCAAAACAAGUAUAGCAAUACUGUUUUAAUAGUUUCUGCUUCUAGCCAAGUGUGAGGGGAGUUAAAAAAAAAAAAGUAUAAAGAUGAUGAGAAAAUCUCAUUUCAUCCAAAAGAACUCUUAGGAAACAUGAAACCAGUAUUGAAGAUAAACCACUACCUCUUCACCCAUAAUGAAGGUCCUAUCCUUCACAUGCCUGUAGCACUGAAAACCCAAAAGGAGAUGAUGCUCUUGACUUAUACCAGUGGCAUUAUGAUGAUUAAUGUAGCUUUCUCUUUGAUAAAUUUUGCUGUAGUCAUCUCAGUAUCCACAGACUCUGGAAGAUUCAGAUAUAAUCUGUACUUCUCAGGGACCUCAAUCAAUAAGUCAUCCUAAGAAUAACAAAGAUGAAAAUAGAAAGGAUUUCUUGGUUAAAAUAUGUGUUACUGGGGAUUAUUCCCAGUUAUUCAUACCUUUCCUAUAAAAUGAGGAUCCCAUUUACUGCCAUGUGACUUGGCAAUAAACUGUAAAGUUGCUGUUGUAGCUCCCUGAGGUUUUGGGAUUAUUUGUUAUUGCUCCUCAAUACAUCAAAAGUUCACUGCUAUGGUGCCAUAAAACAGCUGUUGCUGUCCCCAGAUUAUGUGGCAUUGACUUUGUGACUGACCAGGAAACAGCAAGGAAAAUUUAUCAGCGAUAGGAAAAACGGUGAUCCAGGUUUUAACAGUGAUGAUAAAGGCCUUAGUAAAACUAUCACAAUAAUUUGAAAGACAAGUAACGUGUACCUGGUUUGUGUCUUUAGGUAAAGAAGUUGAAAAUAGAAUGUUGGUAGCAUGCAUUAGUCUUACUGGCUACAUUUAAUAAGCUACUACAAAAAGAGAUGAGCUGAGAAAAGAAUUUCCCAGUUUGUAAGUAGGAUUAAAAGAGAAUAUACAGAGCCCAGGAAUUCUAAAACGUCAGGACUGAGAAAUAGGACUAAGUUUUAUUUUCAACCAAUUAUUUCUCUUGUUAGAGGAUUAUACAUCCUUGCCAUUUGAAUUCCUGUGAGAAUAUUCUUACUAGUCCUAUUGAUGUAGGAUUUGGCCUUGUGACCUGAGUUUGGCCAACAGAAUGUGGAGUAAAAGUGAUAUAUGCUAUGUCUGAGAGAAAGUUUUAGGAGCCAUUGCAUGAGUUACCCGUUUGUAUUUUCCCUCUUCCAUGAGAAUGGCGUAUCUCAGAUGGGACCUACCCCUUCACCUGUAUCUUGAAAUGUGCAAGACCCUGGAGCAGAGGCCUAGGUGACAUGUAAGCUGAGUAAACUGCUGUAAACCACUGAGAUUGUGCAGUUUGUUACUAGAGUGCAUUAUAGUAAAUGUUGACUGACACAAAUUUAUAGUAUUACCUACUCGACUUACCUCAGAAACACUAAGGUCACAGAGAGAUGCGGAAUUAAUACCAGGUAAUUCAACUUUUAUUUCAAUUUUCAGAGGUUUCUCAUUCUGAUCAGCCACAAUUUUUAAUUCAUAGGCUGGUUCCUUCAUCUCUACCUGGCUCUCUGUACUGGAAAUCUCCUCUAUCAGACACCUUGUUUUGCUUGAAACUUCAUCUUUUGGCAAUAAAAGUUGGAAGUCAUCUGGAUUGCUCACAGCACUACUCAUCUGUUCAAGGGUUAGUUCUUCAGGAAAAUAAAAGGCGGGGGGGGGGGAGAUGAAAUUAAAAAAAAUUAAUCAACAACAUAAAAUACUAUGAGCUUUAGUGUGUGUGGUGUUAGCCAAAAUGACAGAUAAAGCUGAAGCUAAAUUAGUUUGGGAAUCUUAAACCAAAGAACUUAGUUAAAAAGUUUGCAGUACUGAAAAAUCUUUAAGGACAUGCUAAUAUUUCUAAUGCCCAAUCUUCCUAUUUUUCUAUCUUAAGUUUCUCUUUUAAAAUCAAGAUUUCUAGUUUGCAAAAUGUACACAGGAUGCAAAAACAAUUUUAAAUCAGUUAAAUUUUCUACUUACAUUUCUUAACUUACCCUUUUUCAUUUUCUCUCUUAAAUCUGUGGGGUCAGUUUGCAUUCUCAACAGAUUUUGUUUCAUCCUUUGAAUGCUUCCUUUUAUUCUAAAGUUAGUAAUGCUGUAAGAGUGUGAGAGAGUGAAUUGGAGUUUUUCCUCAAUGCAUUUCAUGGCCAUCUGUAUUAAUUGAUCUUUUUUCACUUGGUCCUUUUCUGCUGCCUGGAGAACAUCAGGAUUGUAGGCCACAUCGAUGACUGUAUAAACAUCUGUGUGUGUAAUUCAGAGGGUGUGAAAUGAAGACAACUCAUUUCACUAAUGGUACUGUCAGUUAAUUUAUUAAGCCAUAAUCCUGAUAAAACUAGAAAGUAUAAAAUAUUCCUGUAUUUUUCAGAGGUAAUCACACAGUUGCUAUAUACACAAAUUUUCAAUUAGGGCAUUUCUGGGCAUUUUAUAUGGAUUAUUAUUAGAAAAAUUGAACCAUAUUUAUAUAAAUAAAAGUGCUUAUUAGUUAUUAACUACAUUACAACCAAAUACAAUAUUUUACUUAUACUGCCUUUUACCAAGUAAAAUCUGGUACAUGCUUAUUCCCAAUAAAGUUUUUAAAAUAUGCUUAAUCCCCCAUAAUUCUAUGUACCUGAUGUCUCAGACCUAUCUUCUGGUCUGCCAAUACUUAGAGGUACUGGAUGAGUGUUUGACUGGGGAGCUGGGAUCCUUUUCCACUGACACAGGUUGAUGAAAAGUAUUUUUUCCUUUGGUUUCUAAAAAGCAAAUAAUUUUUCAUAUCUCAAAACCUAGUUGUUUUUUUAAAUCAUAGCCUAAAGGUAACUCAGAUAACUUUAUGCUCUAAAAUAGCCAUUCUGUGUAUUAAAACUGUGUUUGAGCCCUUUCACGAAGAUGGCACCUAAGGUGAAGAAGGAAGCCCCUGCCCCUCCCAAUGCUGAAGCCAAAGUAAAGGCUUUGAAGGCCAAGAAAGCAGUACGGAAAGGCAUCCAGGGGCAUUAAAACAAAGGAGAUCCGCACAUCACCUACAUUCCAGUGGCUCAAGACACCGCGUCUCCAAAGGCAACCCGAAUAUCCUCGUUAACAGAGCCCCCAGGAGAAACAAGCUUGACCAGUCUUUCCCCGUGACUACUGAGCCAGCCAUGAAGAAAACAGAAAACAACACACUUGUGUUCGUUGGGGAUGUCAAGGCCAACAAGCACCAGAUCAAACAGGCUGUGAAGAAGCUCUAUGACACUGACGUGGCCAAGGUCAACACUCUGAUCAGGCCCGAUGGAGAAAAGAAAGCAUAUGUUCGACUGGCUCCUGACUGUGAUGCUUUGGAUGCUGCCAACAAAAUUGGGAUCAUCUAAACUGAGUCCAGCUAGCUAAAUCUAAAUUUUUCACCAUAAAAAAAUA
RNAcentral lists this long non-coding RNA (18609 nucleotides) under Lynx pardinus (Iberian lynx). The record is from RNAcentral. Lineage: Eukaryota; Metazoa; Chordata; Mammalia; Carnivora; Felidae.